RNAcentral lists this small RNA (17 nucleotides) under Arabidopsis thaliana (thale cress). RNAcentral describes it as "ATSL186950". Lineage: Eukaryota; Viridiplantae; Streptophyta; Magnoliopsida; Brassicales; Brassicaceae. The record is from RNAcentral.
AAAAUACCAAAAAAAAA